Molecule: long non-coding RNA, 5450 nt
Organism: Symphalangus syndactylus (siamang)
Lineage: Eukaryota; Metazoa; Chordata; Mammalia; Primates; Hylobatidae
Source: RefSeq, a predicted model, not a curated record
GAGUCUCACUCUGUCACCCAGGCUGGAGUGCAGUGGCACGAUCUCUGCUCACUGUAAGCUCCGCCUCCCGGGUUCACGCCAUUCUCCUGCCUCAGCCUCCCGAGUAGCUGGGACUACAGGCGCCCCCCACCACACCCAGCCAAUUUUUUGUAUUUUUCAUAGGGACGGGGUUUCACCGUGUUAGCCAGGAUGGUCUUGAUCUCCUCGCCUCGUGAUCCGCCCACCACGGUCUCCCAAAGUGCUGGGAUUACAGGCCCAAACUCGCUUUAAAGAAUAGAAAAUUCAGAAAGACACACACACUAAAAUCAAUCAGGUAUCAUCCCAACAUCCAAGGGUAAGAAUAUUUUGGUAUUUGGUAUUUUUUUCAUAUUACCUCAGAUUCACAGAGCACACCCUGCUUUCUCUGUUUCAUGGCUUUUAUCAACAAUUCUCUUUUCCACCCUAUCCCCAUUAGUACCUGUUGAAAUCUCUCGCCUCAGUUACCUCAAAUAGCAUUCCUCCAGGAAGUGUCACAUACCACUCAGAACCCCACCUGCGCUGGAAGCAAACUCUCCUGCCUUUAUAUUCCUAUAGCACUUUGUAGCUCACGGAUGUCAAUUUUGACACUUUUAAAAAUAUUCCAGUUACGUGUAAAUUCCUGAGGGUAGGGAUUAAAUUUUAGUCUACUGAAGUGUGUCCCCCUACCCUUCUCUCUCUCUCUCUCACUCACAUACACAUACACACAAACACACGUACACAUGCACUCUGUCUCUCUCUCACACACACACUGCAGUGCAAGCACAGCACUUAAGAUGAGCUCCAUCCCGUUUCCUCUCCUGGUAUCACCGUACUCUUACUUUCAGAAUAAAUAACUAUCCUUUAGUCACAGAGGACAUUUCAAUCAUUAGUGGCUUUGGUUGCUCCAUCAUUUGCAAUUAUUCUAGUGCUCUUCUUUCUAUGUGAAUUUUGAAGAUGUUUAAUAUUAUAAUAAAAAUGAAAAGUUUUCACUUAAAUAUCCCUUAUUAUGGGUCAGCUACUUUGGGGAUAGAUGGUUAUUUAAGUUUUCUGAUUCAAUCCAAACUGUGGAAAAGCAUGAUUGGCACUUUUUUACAAAUGUGAACACUGAGGCUUAGCAAGGUAACCUAACUUGUCCAGGGUUGUCUGACUAAUUAGAGGAGGCACUGGGAUUUAACCCAGGGUUACCUGGCUCCAAGACUAUGUGCACCACCUUGAAGCUUCCCAAGCCCCAAGGAGUCCACUUGCCUCUACUCUGGGAGAGUGUGGCCAAUUCACCAGGGGCCCUCAGCCCCACGCCUGGCAGCCACAUCAUUCACCAGAUGAGCCAGCCGGGCCAGCCUCAUGACUGAGGAACAGCUGCCCAGGUGUUAGUAGAGGCUGCAUUCCAGUGACAUUCCUCCUUGGCAGAAACUUCAAAACUAGAGGGAGACAUUACUCAGGCAGGCUGGUAAGGCAUCCCAGGCUUUCAGACCUCAGGUUUGCAAGACAGACUUAACCUGAUGGUAACAUAGAGUGUAAUAAGAAGCAUCAACUGCACUCCUGCCCAUCUUUGGCAGAUGGAGCGCUGGAGAGGGCAGUAGAGCAUGGAGGCUGAUGGGAACCUUCAUCUACUCAGGCCUUGCACGAAGCCCUUGAAGACAGAACUCUGGUUCUUUCACCAGAAUGACCUAGGGACAGGCUUCCCCUCUUCCAUAUGCAAAGCUGCUCCCCUCCUCCUGCUUCUUCUCUGCCUUUUGAGGAAGUCACUUGGGGCAGGGGUGGUGGCUCAGUUGACCUUUCUGCCUGGUGUCUCUCCUGGUAGAAUGCAGACUCUUGGAGCCUCCCUGUUAUGACCGGCAGCCAGGUAGAGGCUGGAUCCUUCAGUUGGGGGACUUUUAGUGGCCCCUGUUGUGGACCUGACCUCACUCUUGGUCUGCAGGUACCCAGAUGGGAAGGGCCCUAGGCAAGCUCAUGGUGUAAGGGAGAGGGGCAGGCAUAUACACAAAGCAAAGUCCAUGAAUCGGUGGAAUAGCAUCAUGCCUAGGAGCGCAAAACCACCCUAAGGUCUAAGGGUCUUGCCACCUAGUAGCUGUGUGGUCACUGGCAAGUCACUUAACCUCUCUGUGCCUCAGCUUCCUGUAAAAAUUUGGAUAACUGCACCCACCUCAUAGGACAAUUUUGUAAGGAUUAAAUGAGUUAACAUGAGAAGAGCCAUUUGGAACAGGGCUGGUCUGCAGCCUGUUCUGUCUCUGUGUUAGCUCUCAGCACCAAGUGCUCCAGGUGCCACAGACACGGAGUCAGGUGACCAGGAGGGACUGAAACUAGGAGUGGCAGGGCCGAGGGGUCACUAUGAUGGUCAACAAAGACUCCAAAAGGAAGUGGUGCUUAAACCAAACCUUGAAGUCUGAGUUGUUGACAGUGAGUGGGGGAACAGAGGGACAGAGGCUGACCCAUGAGGGCAACAGGACAUGGUUUGGAUUCACCAGAGCCCAAGAGUGAGGUUGGGAGAGAGGGGGCUGGAGAGGGGCACAGGGGCUGAGCCCAGAGGUCCAUGAAGGCCAGCACAUGCUUAGAAAGUUGGCAGUGGCCCAGGCAGCAUGGCUGGGAGAGGGCCAGGGUGGAGGCAGGAGAACUAGUUUGGACAGGAGGUGGUUGUGAGUCCAGAGCAGAGAUGAGCAAUGGUGAGGGUUGAUCUGGGCAGCAAGGCACUUGGGCAAUAGAAGGCUCAGGCCUCUGUGGCGCCAAGUGUGGCAAUGAGGCAGAGGAAGGCCUCAGGAUGUGGCUCAGUCUGGCUGGUGGGACCCAGGGGAUGGGCUACUUUGUUCUCAGAGAGAAGGGGCUGAGAAAAAAGAAAAAGAGGAGACAAUGGACAUGCAGUGAGCACCUGUGACGUGCUAGGUGCUAGGACGGAUGGUGUUCACUUAACCCUCAAGCCAUCUCUCCAAGGUGAGAAUAAAAGUCCUCCCCAAACAGGAAACUGAGGCCCAGAGGGCAUCCGUGACUUGCUGAAAUUCACACAGCCUGGAAGUGUGGGCUCCGGCUCUCUGACUUCUAGUUCUUCAGGCUGCCUGUUUAUCUUCAGCUGUCUUCAGGCAAACCAGCCCGUGGGAGGACAGCCCCACGCCUUCGCCCGUGUGAGUGUGCCCCAGCAGAAACACUGCUGUUGAGUCAGACGAUACAAACCGACAUCGCCUCACGUGACUUACAGAUAUUUUCAUUUUUGCUUACUUUUACUCAGCCAAGAACUUCAAAGCAGCAUCAUUCCUGGAGGAUUUGUUAAUCGACGUGUCACAGGUGAGCCUAUGAGCAGGAAGGAAAUGGGCUCAGAGACCAAAACAUCUGUCCCCUGUAUUUCUUGCCAGGUUCCGGAGCUGAGACUCCUGGGGCUCACCAGGAGCCUGGGCUUCCCUCCACUUUGAAGGGCUUGACCACCCCGGCAUGGGCUGGAGCUUAGACCGUUGGCCCAAUCCUUCCUUUGGGGUGGGGGAAGGUGUCCGCAGGAAGCAUUUCCAGCUCUGGGAAGGUGCCUCAGUAGCUCGACCGUAUAGCAGGGCCCCUGGGAGGAGGAGAACAGUUCAUCAGUGCCUGCCAGGUGGUCACUGCUUAUGUCUCACAGAAACACGAAUGUCAUUGUCCCGGUGAGGAUGAAAAACCAGGGGCUCAGAGAUGUUAAAUAAACUGGCCCAGGUCACACAGCUAGGACGGCAUCGAUCCGACAUUCCUACAGGUCUCGGGAGCCCCCCCUCGGCCCCUCUCCAGUCCAGAGAGAGGCACUUGCAGCGCUUAUAAAAGUCUUUACUUGUUUGAAGCCAAGUUCCUCUCAGGUGUUGCUUUUUUCUGUUUCUUUUCUUUUUUUAGGCCUUGGGGGUUGGGGUGGGAGACCAAAGGUGGAGUUGUGCUAUUUUACACAACUGACUUGGCUUGCACGUCAUCUAAACACCAAGUUCCGUUCUCAGAGGAAGUGAGAGGUGUCCAAUUCGGUCAUGCAGAACGCAGCUGGGCUGCUCGAAACGAAACGAAGCGGCUACUCCGAAGGAGGUGUUGUCCGUGGGCCGGUCCGGGUUGAGUCAGAGCAGACGCCACUCCCACGUCAAAAAUACCAGGCCACUGUCCCAUGGAGCUGGGCUAUUCACUCAGGUCAUAUUCACCACUUCUGAAAUCCACAUUAAAGGAAAAAAGAAAAGGGAAGGGAAAGGGAAAAGGAAAGGAAAGGAAGCAGAAACCAGAAUGGCGACAAGGAGAGCCACCCAGUCAGAGCAGCGCCUGUACACCUCUGUAGGGCAUGCCGGGCACCCGACGGCCGCAGGUCCGGGCAGUGCUUGUGCCUAUCAGGCCAUCUCAGCCUUGGUUAUAUUCAGGACCCAGGAGCAUAUCUAUGUUGUGUGGGGCCCAAAAACUUACAAUUUGGGACACUCCUUAAUAAAAAGAAUACAAAAGUAUGAAAACAAGAUUAAGCACAAAAGUGGGUAUUUACCUAGGAGGAGGGGGAGGGGAAUCACAGCAAAUUGCUGACAUCCUACAGAUUGGCCCCUUCCUUCAGCAAUCUAUGUAGGCAGUUUACCAGAAAUGCACACACAGCAACACUUCCUGUUUGUAACCUGCCUUCCCUUCCCUGCGUAGCACACUCCCAGCAUCUCCCUGCUCUCUUGGGCAACGGAAGCUUGUGUCUCUUCAUCUUUACGCCAUGUGAAGAAGGUCCUUGCUUCCCCUUCACCUUCUGCCCUGAUUGUAAGUUUCCUGAUGCCUCCCAGCCGUGUGGAACUGUGAGUCAAUUAAGCCUCUUUCCUUCAUAAAUUAACCAGUGUCGGGUAGUGUCUUUAUAGCAGUGCGAGAAUGGACUAACAUGAGUGCCCAACACUGAGCCCUCAGCAAGCUCCAAGCUUCUUUGAGUGUCUGCCAUUGCUUCCUGGAAACCUGGGGGUGAAUGGAUCCUAGUUGUUCCAGUCUUGGGUACAUUAACCUGAUAUUUUAUUAUUAACUGUCCAGGCAGUAAGUGUACCCGAGCCAUUGACUCUUCCAAGAGUUUAUUCUGUUCCACUGCGAUGUGGUCCUCAGGGGAUGGUGAAUAUCUAAUGAUUGCCCAGCUCUGUGUUCCUGAUCUAGUUUGGAUAUUUGUCCUCAAAAUCACAUGAUGGAAUUUAACCCCCAGUGUUGAAGUUGGGGCCUGGUGGGAGGUAUUUAGGUCAUGGGGGUAGCUCCCUCAUGGCUUGGUGUUGUCUUCAUGAUAGUAAGUAAGUUCUAGUGGGAUCUAAUUGUUUAAAAAUAUGUGGGUUAGGCUUUGAAAAGCCCUUAUCUUGCUCCUCCCCUUCUCUCUCUUGCUCCUGCUUUUGCCAUGUGAUGUGCCGACUCCCGUUUGCCUUCCUCCAUGAGUAAAAGCUACCUGAGACCUACCAAGAAGCUGAGCAGAUGCUGGCACCAUACUUGUAUAACCUGCAGAACCGUGAGCCAAUUAAACCUCUUUUCUUUAUAAAUUA